This 577-nucleotide ribosomal RNA is filed under the name uncultured bacterium. RNAcentral's name for it is "bacterial SSU rRNA". It matches the Rfam family "Bacterial small subunit ribosomal RNA", at positions 95 to 691 of the family's 1533-position model. The record is from RNAcentral.
GCGGCGGACGGGUGAGUAACGCGUGGGUAACCUACCCUGUACACACGGAUAACAUACCGAAAGGUAUGCUAAUACGGGAUAAUAUAUUUGAGAGGCAUCUCUUGAAUAUCAAAGGUGAGCCAGUACAGGAUGGACCCGCGUCUGAUUAGCUAGUUGGUAAGGUAACGGCUUACCAAGGCGACGAUCAGUAGCCGACCUGAGAGGGUGAUCGGCCACAUUGGAACUGAGACACGGUCCAAACUCCUACGGGAGGCAGCAGUGGGGAAUAUUGCACAAUGGGCGAAAGCCUGAUGCAGCAACGCCGCGUGAGUGAUGAAGGCCUUCGGGUCGUAAAACUCUGUCCUCGAGGAAGAUAAUGACGGUACUUGAGGAGGAAGCCCCGGCUAACUACGUGCCAGCAGCCGCGGUAAUACGUAGGGGGCUAGCGUUAUCCGGAUUUACUGGGCGUAAAGGGUGCGUAGGCGGUCUUUCAAGUCAGGAGUGAAAGGCUACGGCUCAACCGUAGUAAGCUCUUGAAACUGGGAGACUUGAGUGCAGGAGAGGAGAGUGGGAUUCCUAGUGUAGCGGUGAAAUGCGU